GUUUUUUCAGCUUAUCAAUCAAUUAUUAACGCUAUAUAUCAUAUGCAUAAUCGAAUGACAUAACUACUUUAAACUAAUUCUUUGGGACUUAGAAGCUAGACGAUUUACACAGAUUCAUAAUCGGGAAACUCAUUAAAACAUCAAAAAGAUAAAUUCAAAUGAGAACCAAAAAGACAUCGUUGUCUGUUCUAAUCAGCUGAAACAGUCUAAUGGGAUGAAGCAACAAGCUCAAGUUUUCGCUUGCAGUUUUCAACAGUUUGCUUAUCUAGGGGAAAAACACUACACAACUAAAAAAAAGAUAUAACUGACUCCGGAAUAAAACUUGUGCUCACUCCGCAUAUGACAUAUGCUUUGCAAACUCCCUAGAGCUCAUCCUGCAAACAAACGGAGGGGAAAGAACUGUUAAGACAUUGCUAUUGAAAUUGAUUUAAGAACAUAUUUGACAGAAUGAAAAAACCUACAUGUACGUCAUCUUUAUUGGUUUCAUCGCUGUCUUCGCCAGCUUCCGCCUUUGACUCAUCAUCAGAGUCGUGGCUAACUUCAUUGGCAUCUUCUUCAUCCUCUUCCGCAUCAGAAUCAACUGGAUCAUCCUUUGUUUCCUGACAAAGAGUUAUGGAAGUGUAAGAAGAGUCUAUGUUCUUACAACAAAACUAGUAAAAUUGGAACAACAUGAUAUGUUUCAAAUAUGCUUUUCAGAAUCAAAAUGUACCUCCUCCUCUUUCUUCUUCUCAGCCUCUUCAAAUGCUGCCUUCUCAGCCUGCAAGAACAUAUUUUCACCAAAGAGAUCAAUAUCCAUUAAGAUUUAUUCCUUAAGGCCAAAAGAUUGAAUGAAUAGAAAACAUCUUACAUCUUUCUGCUUGCCCCAUGUUUCUUCAGCAACUUGCUUAGCAUACUCAGGAUCAUCGGUAAUAACAACAUUGUCAAACAAUGUACCAGAUUUCACCUGCAAAGUUAAGUAGCUUGCUGGUCAGAGUUUGGAACUAAAAUGCUCAUAUCAAGUGGAAAAAGUAAACAUAACAGAAACAGUACCUGCCACAAUUCAAUGCCAACAUACUUCAACUUGGGGAAAACAUAGAUGUCAGGGUCGUCCUUGAAGUCUGGUAAAUAUAUAAAUUACGAAUGUUAAAAAUACUUCAAAACCUAAAAGCAAUUACAUAACAUCAACUGUGAAAACAAGGAUGAAAAGCAAACCUGGGUUGUCAAUCAAUGGUGCCUUCCACUUUCCACUGUAGUUGGGGUUCUUGAUUUUCUGCCAAGACGUAACACCCAUAGUAUGUAAAAACAAAUCAAUUCCUAAACAUAUUGCAAUAUGCCAUCAAUUAAUGCUUCCACACAAACAAACCUUUGGCUUCCAUGGUCCCUUGUACUCUGGGUUGGCAAUGGUAGGUGCGGUCCACUCACCAUCUUCCUCGUCAUCCCAGUCCUCAGGCUACACAACAAUUAUUCUAAUCAGCAACGCCACAAGAUAAUGAGAGAUGAAUGAACACAGCAAUGGGAAAAAACAAACCUUUUUGGCAUCAGGAUCUGCGACCUCUUUAGGGAUGUCAUCAUAUCCCUACAAAUACAGACAGGAUGUCAGAGUCAAUAUCUGAUACACCACAUAGUACAUGGUAACCUCAUAAAAAGUAUAGAAAAAGGUAUUACCUCUGGCUUCUUGUCUUCGGGAUCAGGAAUAAACUCCUUAUCAUCCCAAUCCUCUGGCUGUAAGUAUUUAAAUUAUGAUUAGAAAUUAGAAAGUAGGAAUACAUAAAUCAAAAGGAAUCUGGCAAUUAAACUAUAAACGUAGGUGAAAAGGGUACCUUUUUGGCCUCAGGGUCCUUGAUUUUCUUUGGUGGGAGAAGACUCCAGUCAGAGUAGAGACUACCUGUUUGCUUCUCCACAUUAUCAAUCAAAAUGCUGUAGGUUGCAUCAGGACGGAUGAUGAAUGUGUAAACAUGAGUAAGCUGGUCAGUCUCACAAGGAACAUCCUUCUUGAUUAAGUGGUUUGUGUCAUUGUAGGUCAGAAUAGCGUGUACUUUCUUGGUGCUGUAACCACAGAUAUCUGGACCAAACAUGAUACUGCAAAAUAGUAACAAAUGAAAGAAAAUCAGUUAUUGUCCCAUAUAAUCUAAGACAUUAUAAGCCGUGGAAGAGAAAUAAAACUAGAGGGGAUAUUAUAAAUCACCUGUAAGGAGUAUCACCGCCAAAAUUCUUCUGAUCAACAUCGCCGCUAAGCAACUUCAUGUAACCACCACCACAGUCAAGUUUCUGUUCAUGCUUGACAGAAAAUUGGAAGACUAGUGUGUUAUCCUUAUUGCUGAAUUCAGGGAACUCGGCAGAGAUAGCAUAAAAUCUGUAAUCUUCACUGGUUUGAAUACCUGCGGAGAUAUCAAACAUUUGAGAAAAUCAACCUCAAUAUCAUCUUUCAAUUAAAAUUAAACACCAGCAACAAUAAAACAAGGUUGUUCAACACAACAAUUUAGUUUACCUUUGUCAUUAGCGUCUCCAUUCCAUUGACCAGAGGUGUAGUUCCACUCCCCAGCCAAGUUCUCGUCUUUCUUCCAUUCGGAUUUUACCCACCGGCUUUCCCAUCCAUCUUUAGCAUUCAACAUAAUGUAUCAACACACGAGUUAGAAAUAAGGAAAAUGAUGAUUAUAAAAUAUGCACUAUAUACUAAUUACCCAUGAAUAUGGACUAUCCUUACCAAAAAAGGAAAAACAGAACAGUUCUUACAGUAAUAAUAUUAUGGCCCUGUUUGAUUAGCUCAAAUUGAUUUCGGAAAUGCUAUAAGCUGUGACUUAUGGAAAUAAACUGAAAACAGCUUAUGAACAUUUCAUAAAGUGUUUUCAUACGUUCUUCCGUAGAGUCUCACAGAUGCUUAUGCCACUAGAUAAGCUCAAAUAAGUUAAUCUAAAUAGUUCUUACACACAAAAACAGAGACAAAUAAUUCAAAGUAAAAAAAAAAAAAAACUACCAUUACUUAAUCCGGACACACAACUCAAAUCAAUUAACGUCUUCAGAAAUGAGAUUAAAAGGAUUGUAAACAAAAUGAAAUGGAAAUUCAAAUACAGUUAAUCGUCACUGCUGUUUAUAUAUCACUAAUCCAUGAUCAAAGAUUAAUUAACCAAAAAACGUGCCAAAUAAUUUUCAAAUGAACAUCAUCACGUUCAGUACACACGUGUUCAGAUCUACUCCAGACAACGACAGUUCAGAUCAAAUCAAAAAUCUAAUAAUUCAGAUCGAGAUUCAAAUCACAUUAUAAAAACACCGAUCGUGAAAAUUCGAUCACAUUAUUGAAAUCACGCAACAAUGCAAAACGGAAAAUUCAAAUUCUAUAAAUUACAAAGACGAAGGUUAAAUUCAAGAUGAUCUAGUAAAGGUGAAAUGAAAAAAAGAGAUAUAGAAAUGAAUGAUAUACCUUGGAAGCGUUCUUCGAAGAAAACCUUCGCAGAAGCGAUGGAGAGAAGGGAGAAAAGAACGAGAGAAAGAAGGUUAGGGUUUCGAACCCUAAUCGCCAUUGCAAUGGAAUCGUUCGCUGAG
Molecule: long non-coding RNA, 3519 nt
Filed under: Medicago truncatula (barrel medic)
Lineage: Eukaryota; Viridiplantae; Streptophyta; Magnoliopsida; Fabales; Fabaceae
Description: lncRNA gene4821
Source: RNAcentral